AUGGAAAGAAAGACACCACUACUUCGCCUCUUUGUUGGACCGCCGGCGCGAACACAGUGGUCGGGGUGGCUGGUGGUUUCGGGAUCCCGUAGAAAAUGCGUCUUUUAUGCCUCGGGUAUUAGCCACAGCUCGUAUUCAUUCAGUAAUUCUACCCCUUCUUCAUUAUUGGACCUCGCUUCUUAAUAUUUUGACUCUUCCAUGCUGUGUCUCAGGAACCUUUUCAAUACGGUCCGGAUUGCUAGCUCCCGUUCAUAGUUCUGCUACAGACGAUACACGAGGAAGAUUUUUAUGGCGGUUCUUCCUUCUAAUUACAGGCAUAUCUAUGACUCUUUUUUACCAGAUGAAGCAGGAGGCAUCGGUCCGUAGAACCUAUAAAAAAGAGAUGGUUGUGGCGCGAAGUACUCUUGUGCACCUACGUCACUCGGCUCGCGCGCAACCCCGCCCCGUUAUGUUAUGGAAGAAUUUUGCUUCUUGCUGGGCUGGUUAUUCAGAGCCAGCAACUGGCUGCCGGAUUUCGUCCCGUCCGUAGCGCUUCGGAAGUCACUCUGGCGUGGCGCUGCUGGAUACUUCUGAUCAAUAGGAAUAGGAGGAAAAAAAAGCUUAUGAUGAGCAUCUAUUGGAGUCGAUCAUUUCCAAGAUCUAAUUCGAGUUUCUUAUUAUGUAGUGGAAACGCCUCACAAUCUUCUGUUUUACGCUUACGCUUAAGGGAAGAAAUGUUCUUGGUGGAUGCAGGCCUUGGUACCCCCAAAAUUUGUAUGCAAGAUGAGCUUACAGGACUGCCAAUCAAGCGAGCCACCAGGUUUGAGAAUAAGGUGGGAUCCAAGAAUGUAGUGGCUGGUGAAUCACUGAUCAAAAAGCGGAUUUUUGAGAGAUUCUUCAUCGAUCUAGUGGCCGGUGAAUCACUGAUCAAAGAGCGAGCAGCCGCCAGGUUUAAUGAUUUUGUGGGAUCCCUGGAUGUAGCGGCUGGCGAACCGCUUCUUCUUCCACAAAGAUUCAGACAAAACCGAGCUUGGAUAGAACUGAAGAAGAUUUGGCGAACGAAGAAAAAGGUAAAAGGGUUUAAAAUUAAGAAAAUCAAAGGAGGUUAUUCAGUAGCCAUCGCAGGUUUCAUUACUUUUCUUCCAUUCAAAUUCAAAAAAGCUCUUAAAAAAAAAA
Molecule: RNA transcript, 1155 nt
Organism: Panicum virgatum (switchgrass)
Lineage: Eukaryota; Viridiplantae; Streptophyta; Magnoliopsida; Poales; Poaceae
Gene name: probable cytochrome c biosynthesis protein
Exons: 2
Source: RefSeq, a predicted model, not a curated record